Molecule: long non-coding RNA, 303 nt
Filed under: Calidris pugnax (ruff)
Lineage: Eukaryota; Metazoa; Chordata; Aves; Charadriiformes; Scolopacidae
Description: lncRNA (ENSCPUG00000008687.1)
Source: RNAcentral
UCUUGCUUCUGAAUCUUCCCACAACUUCCAGACUCCCCUCCAUGCAGCCAAAAAACCCCAAUAAAGCUUUUGCAAUCUGACAGAGGCGGGCGAAAGCAAGUUCAGAGAAAAGACAUUCCCCUGAAGAAGAGCAGGAGAACAGUCCUCGAGCCCUGCCUGUGCUAGGUGAAGGACAGCCAGCCACACCACUUGCUCAAUCCUAAAACCAUCUCCCCCAAGCCCUGGAGACACACUGGCAGUUGAACUGAUUUUCCAGGUAAGCCUCUUUUUUUUUUUUAAACCCUGAAUCUUGAUAGCUGAGCG